RNAcentral lists this ribosomal RNA (473 nucleotides) under uncultured bacterium. RNAcentral describes it as "bacterial SSU rRNA". It matches the Rfam family "Bacterial small subunit ribosomal RNA", at positions 335 to 800 of the family's 1533-position model. The record is from RNAcentral.
ACUCCUACGGGAGGCAGCAGUGGGGAAUAUUGCACAAUGGGCGCAAGCCUGAUGCAGCCAUGUCGCGUGUGUGAAGAAGGCCUUCGGGUUGUAAAGCACUUUCAGUCGUGAGGAAGGUAGUGUAGUUAAUAGCUGCAUUAUUUGACGUUAGCGACAGAAGAAGCACCGGCUAACUCCGUGCCAGCAGCCGCGGUAAUACGGAGGGUGCGAGCGUUAAUCGGAAUUACUGGGCGUAAAAGCGCAUGCAGGUGGUUUGUUAAGUCAGAUGUGAAAGCCCGGGGCUCAACCUCGGAAUAGCAUUUGAAACUGGCAGACUAGAGUACUGUAGAGGGGGGUAGAAUUUCAGGUGUAGCGGUGAAAUGCGUAGAGAUCUGAAGGAAUACCGGUGGCGAAGGCGGCCCCCUGGACAGAUACUGACACUCAGAUGCGAAAGCGUGGGGAGCAAACAGGAUUAGAUACCCUGGUAGGAUAGC